This is a small nuclear RNA of Schistocerca piceifrons (Central American locust), 107 nucleotides long. The record is from RefSeq and is a predicted model, not a curated record. NCBI's taxonomy places the organism in Eukaryota, Metazoa, Arthropoda, Insecta, Orthoptera, Acrididae.
GUACUCGCUUCGGCGGUACAUAUAGUAAAAUUGGAGCGAUACAGAGUAGAGAAGCAUGGCCCCUGCACGAGGAUGAUACGCGAAACCGUGAAGCGUUCCACUUUUUU